Molecule: transfer RNA, 68 nt
Filed under: Marmota monax (woodchuck)
Lineage: Eukaryota; Metazoa; Chordata; Mammalia; Rodentia; Sciuridae
Description: tRNA.Ala
Source: RNAcentral
GCUGGGGCUCAGUGGCAGGGCGCUUGCCUAGCCUGCGGGAGGCCCUGGGUUCGACCCUCAGCACCGCG